UACGGAAGGCAGCAGUGGGGAAUAUUGCACAAUGGGCGCAAGCCUGAUGCAGCCAUGCCGCGUGUAUGAAGAAGGCCUUCGGGUUGUAAAGUACUUUCAGUCGUGAGGAAGGUGUUAAGGUUAAUAACCUUAGCAAUUGACGUUAGCGACAGAAGAAGCACCGGCUAACUCCGUGCCAGCAGCCGCGGUAAUACGGAGGGUGCGAGCGUUAAUCGGAAUUACUGGGCGUAAAGGGCACGCAGGCGGUUAAUUAAGUUGGAUGUGAAAUCCCCGGGCUUAACCUGGGAAUGGCAUUCAAGACUGGUUAGCUAGAGUCUUGUAGAGGGGGUAGAAUUCCAUGUGUAGCGGUGAAAUGCGUAGAGAUGUGGAGGAUACCGGUGGCGAAGGCGGCCCCUGGACAAAGGACUGACGCUCAUGUGCGAAAGCGUGGGGAGCAAAC
Molecule: ribosomal RNA, 439 nt
Filed under: uncultured bacterium
Lineage: Bacteria
Description: bacterial SSU rRNA
Rfam family: Bacterial small subunit ribosomal RNA
Source: RNAcentral